UGGGGAAUAUUGCACAAUGGGCGCAAGCCUGAUGCAGCCAUGCCGCGUGUAUGAAGAAGGCCUUCGGGUUGUAAAGUACUUUCAGUCGGGAGGAAGGUGGUAAGGUUAAUAACCUUAUCAAUUGACGUUACCGACAGAAGAAGCACCGGCUAACUCCGUGCCAGCAGCCGCGGUAAUACGGAGGGUGCAAGCGUUAAUCGGAAUUACUGGGCGUAAAGCGCACGCAGGCGGUUUGUUAAGUCAGAUGUGAAAUCCCCGGGCUCAACCUGGGAACUGCAUCUGAUACUGGCAAGCUUGAGUCUCGUAGAGGGGGGUAAAAUUCCAGGUGUAGCGGUGAAAUGCGUAGAGAUCUGGAGGAAUACCGGUGGCGAAGGCGGCCCCCUGGACGAAGACUGAAGCUCAGGUGCGAAAGCGUGGGGAGCAAACAGG
RNAcentral lists this ribosomal RNA (429 nucleotides) under Chloroflexota bacterium. RNAcentral describes it as "Chloroflexi bacterium partial 16S ribosomal RNA". It matches the Rfam family "Bacterial small subunit ribosomal RNA", at positions 355 to 776 of the family's 1533-position model. Lineage: Bacteria; Bacillati; Chloroflexota. The record is from RNAcentral.